GCUGACACAUCCCGGCCAAUCUCCAGCAGACCCUCCCUCCCAGACCCUCCCACCUCCUGGACAGCAUCCAUGUUGAAGGCAGCUUCAACAUGGAUGCUGGCCAGGAGAUGGGAGGGUCUGGGAGGGAGAGUCUGCUGGAGAUUGGCCGGGAUGUGUCAG
RNAcentral lists this microRNA precursor (159 nucleotides) under Pelobates cultripes (western spadefoot toad). The record is from RNAcentral. Lineage: Eukaryota; Metazoa; Chordata; Amphibia; Anura; Pelobatidae.